UGAAGUCUGAAAUUCGACUUCAUGAAGCUGGAAUUGCUAGUAAUGGCAGGUCAGCAUACUGCCGUGAAUACGUUCCCGGGCCUUGUACACACCGCCCGUCACACCAUGAGAGUUGGGAAUACCCGAAGCCUGUGAGCUAACUUUUUAAGAGGCAGCAGUCGAAGGUAGAAUCAAUGAUUGGGGUGAAGUCGUAACAAGGUAAC
RNAcentral lists this ribosomal RNA (203 nucleotides) under uncultured bacterium. Its description in RNAcentral is "partial 16S ribosomal RNA". It matches the Rfam family "Bacterial small subunit ribosomal RNA", at positions 1299 to 1500 of the family's 1533-position model. The record is from RNAcentral.